RNAcentral lists this ribosomal RNA (260 nucleotides) under uncultured Lactobacillus sp. RNAcentral's name for it is "partial 16S ribosomal RNA". It matches the Rfam family "Bacterial small subunit ribosomal RNA", at positions 103 to 354 of the family's 1533-position model. The record is from RNAcentral. Lineage: Bacteria; Bacillati; Bacillota; Bacilli; Lactobacillales; Lactobacillaceae.
UGGGUGAGUAACACGUGGGGAACCUGCCCCAUAGUCUGGGAUACCACUUGGAAACAGGUGCUAAUACCGGAUAAGAAAGCGGAUCGCAUGAUCAGCUUUUAAAAGGCGGCGUAAGUUGUCGCUAUGGGAUGGCCCCGCGGUGCAUUAGCUAGUUGGUAAGGUAAAGGCUUACUAAGGCGAUUAUUCAUAGCCGAGUUGAGAGACUGAUCGGCCACAUUGGGACUGAGACACGGCCCAAACUCCUACGGGAGGCAGCAGGU